AAAAAAUACAGAGAUUUUUGUGGAUAACAAAUCUUAGAUUGUAGAAUUUUAGCUUUGGAACAUUGAUCAUAUCCAAUAAAGAUAUGUUUUUUAUUUUUAUCAUCAAGCUUGAACCUCUCUUAACCGAAUACAUGAACAUAGCCAAUGCUUCAAAAAAAUUUAAAUGGGAAACUGAUGUAGGUGCAGGAGUCCGAGUCAUCCUAGAUAUGCGUCGUAUUUGGAUCAUCGCU
This 230-nucleotide long non-coding RNA is filed under the name Phoenix dactylifera (date palm). RNAcentral describes it as "long non-coding RNA (PDAC_LNC003339)". Lineage: Eukaryota; Viridiplantae; Streptophyta; Magnoliopsida; Arecales; Arecaceae. The record is from RNAcentral.